Molecule: ribosomal RNA, 261 nt
Filed under: uncultured bacterium
Lineage: Bacteria
Description: partial 16S ribosomal RNA
Rfam family: Bacterial small subunit ribosomal RNA
Source: RNAcentral
UACGGAGGGGCUAGCGUUGUUCGGAAUUACUGGGCGUAAAGCGCACGUAGGCGGCUUUGUAAGUUAGAGGUGAAAGCCCGGGGCUCAACUCCGGAAAUUCGGCCUUUAAGUACUGCAUCGCUAGAAUUGUGGAAGAGGUAAGUGGAAUUCCGAGUGGUAGAGGUGAAAUUCGUAGAUAUUCGGAAGAACACCAGUGGCGAAGGCGACUUACGUGGACACAUAUUGACGCUGAGGUGCGAAAGCGAUGGGGAGCAAACAGGG